UGAAAGGCGAAACGUAAUGUGAAUCGCAACUAACAGUGAAUCAUCGAAUCUUUGAACGCAGGCCGCAUCUGGGGCUGUCAUUCUGUGACAGUUCCAGGUAUCUAUGCAGGAGUGUCAGCCUAAUGUCAUUUAUGGUUCAAGAAGUUUGAGAGCAAUGUAUAUUUGUAUAAAAAGCUCUGCAUAAAAACUUUUGGACAUAGAUUGAUAUGUAGGAUUUAAUGUCUGGCCUCCUGUGUGGAAGAUUACCCGCUGGAUUUAA
This 259-nucleotide unclassified non-coding RNA is filed under the name uncultured fungus. RNAcentral describes it as "sequence contains ITS1". The stretch from base 1 to 117 matches the Rfam family "5.8S ribosomal RNA", at positions 49 to 154 of the family's 154-position model. The record is from RNAcentral. Lineage: Eukaryota; Fungi.